Long non-coding RNA from Chinchilla lanigera (long-tailed chinchilla), 1596 nucleotides. RefSeq lists it as uncharacterized. The record is from RefSeq and is a predicted model, not a curated record. Lineage: Eukaryota; Metazoa; Chordata; Mammalia; Rodentia; Chinchillidae. The transcript is spliced from 3 exons.
CCUCACCGCAGUCUUACUCUCGACCUCCGAAUUUUGCCAGUCCGCUCCACGCUGCACGAUCCUAGCCCAGGUCAGGACAAAUGCAGUCUGCAGUCAGAGCCUGGCCCGGGCACAGCCCCAUUUGAGGAUGGCAGAGAAUGCAGGCUGCAGGGCCCUCCUCCUAACUGCAGGAACAAGGUCUAAAGACACACAGGGUGGCCUCUUCUUCCUUGACAGUAACUACAGGGUACUGAAGACUCCCUGCUGUGCUUUAGACCUCAACCAUCCCCCAAGUCUCAUGGGUAUGGAAAGUGAUUGGAUCAUGGGUGCGUGCCCAGCAGCAGAUCCACUCGUGGGCCACCACUUUGUCCUCCACCACGACCUCUGUCUUCCCCUCCCUUCCUGGGAGCCAGCUGACUGUGGACUGAAGCCCAGGGAUAGCAAGGCCAUCCCAUGAUCCAUCAAUGUGUGGGAUGCUGGCUCCCUCUUUUUGACAGAACAAAGUAUUUCCAAGGACUCUUCUCAGGAGAAAUGUACAGUCUCAGGCAAGACACAGAAAAAAACAGACACCUGUGCAUUACUUUUGUGGCAAAGCACACUUUUGAUUUCUCUUUGUACCUUUUCAAAAGAGAGGUUUCUAACACUUCUUCUGUAAAACUCACUCUCCUCCAUCCUCUUGAUGCACAAAGAAACUGCCACUAAACACAAGACAGAAUUCCAGUGGGAGCCUCAUAGUCUUGGCUCACUGCAAGAAGAGUGAGUCACUUAGCACAAUCUCAAGAAGAGGAGAUAUAUGGCGGUGUGGUGGCCUCUUGUUCUUGGAGAUUGUCCACAUGGUUAAUGUUUCUGAGCUGAUGUUCCCGGUAAAUUUGAUUUAGUGACUUUAUGUAUGCUUCUCCACUAAAGUAUUACAUAUUUUAAAUCAACUGUCAGUAACCUUCACAGAGGGAAGUGCAUAAAUGGAAAAGAUUCAAUGAAAUGCUACAAUAUGUACAUCACUGCCCCAAAACAACUCCGUUUCACAAGGUGUUGGCUUUGUUUUGAAUGCAGAAAAAGAAAUUACCCUCAAUAAUCAUUUUAUGCAUUUGCCCCUUAAGUGCUUCUGACCAUGGAGAUAUAAAACAAGACUUGGCAAGCGGAAGAGAGCCUUCUCUGUUGACCUUUAAGUAAACAUUUCAUGUAUUAGAAGGCCAAGAUUGAAAUGUGCCCACCAGUUGCAACUGUACUCACUCUGAUUAAUGCAGAGACAGCUUCCUGAAUCUGUGAUGGUGUCAACGGGGAUGUGUCACUGGCCCACCUGCCACAUCUUCUCAGAGUGAUUUCUGGUAGCAGAGGCAUUCAGGGACCUUGCUCAGAGACUGCCGACCCCUCCAGGCCACUUUGUGUCUCAGGAAGUAUCCUUGGCACUGAAGCAGGAUGCAGGGCACCCUGCGUACCAGGCUUCCCACACGCCUGCCCCAGCACCUGUACCCUCCCUCCAGGUCAUAACAAUGACUCGCUGCUUGUUUAUGUAUCUGGAGAUUUUCUUAUUUUUGGUCCUAAACACAAAAUCUUAAAACUACUUCAGUUUGGCUGCAGAACUGCUCAUUUACUUAUUCAAUAAAUAUGUGUUAAACA